This 2889-nucleotide ribosomal RNA is filed under the name Bacteroides ovatus. Its description in RNAcentral is "23S ribosomal RNA". It matches the Rfam family "Bacterial large subunit ribosomal RNA". Lineage: Bacteria; Pseudomonadati; Bacteroidota; Bacteroidia; Bacteroidales; Bacteroidaceae. The record is from RNAcentral.
AAAGAAAGUAAGCAAGGGCGCAUGGCGGAUGCCUUGGCUCUCGGAGGCGAUGAAGGACGUGAUAAGCUGCGAUAAGCUUCGGGCAGGUGCAAAUAACCUUUGAUCCGAAGAUUUCCGAAUGGGACAACCCGUCAUUCUGAAGGAAUGACAUCUUGCAUAGCAAGAGGCUAACGCAGGGAACUGAAACAUCUUAGUACCUGUAGGAAAAGAAAAUAAUAAUGAUUCCCCUAGUAGUGGCGAGCGAACGGGGAUUAGCCCAAACCAAUGUUGUUACGGCAAUAUUGGGGUUGUAGGACCACGCUCUCGCAAGAAGUUUAGUGAGAAGAACCCUUUGGAAAAUGGGACCAUAGACGGUGAUAGUCCGGUAUUCGAAGCUAAAUGAAGCGUAGUGGUAUCCUGAGUAGCGCGGGACACGAGGAAUCUUGCGUGAAUCUGCCGGGACCAUCCGGUAAGGCUAAAUACUCCCGAGAGACCGAUAGCGAACCAGUACUGUGAAGGAAAGGUGAAAAGCACUUCGAAUAGAAGAGUGAAAUAGUCCCUGAAACCGUGCGCCUACAAGCGGUCGGAGCUGCUUCAGCAGUGACGGCGUGCCUUUUGCAUAAUGAACCUACGAGUUACUUUUUCCGGCAAGGUUAAGGAUCUUGAGAUCCGCAGCCGAAGCGAAAGCGAGUCUUAAUAGGGCGAUUAGUCGGAAGGAGUAGACGCGAAACCAAGUGAUCUACCCUUGGUCAGGUUGAAGGUUAGGUAACACUAACUGGAGGACCGAACCGAUAAGCGUUGAAAAGCUUCCGGAUGAACUGAGGGUGGGGGUGAAAGGCUAAUCAAACUUGGAGAUAGCUCGUACUCCCCGAAAUGCAUUUAGGUGCAGCCUUGGGAAUUACUACUGUGAGGUAGAGCGACUGAUAAGAUGCGAGGGCUUCACCGCCUAUCAAGUCUUGAUAAACUCCGAAUGCGCAGUAGUUCGAUCCCAGGAGUGAGGGCAUGGGUGCUAAGGUCCAUGUCCUAAAGGAGAAGAAUCCAGACCAUCAGCUAAGGUCCCGAAAUAAUUGCUAAGUUGAACUAACGAAGUCAGAUUGCUAAGACAGCUAGGAUGUUGGCUUGGAAGCAGCCAUUCAUUUAAAGAGUGCGUAACAGCUCACUAGUCGAGGAGUUUGGCGUGGAUAAUAAUCGGGCAUUAAGCAAUUUACCGAAGCUAUGGGAUGUUAACUAAACACUAACAUCGGUAGGGGAGCAUUCCACUCUGCGUCGAAGGUGAAGCGUGAGCUUUGCUGGAGCGUGUGGAAAAGCAAAUGUAGGUAUAAGUAACGAUAAAGGGGGUGAGAAACCCCCUCGCCGAAAGACUAAGGUUUCCUGAUCAACGCUAAUCGGAUCAGGGUUAGUCGGGUCCUAAGGCUCAGCCGAACGGUGAGGCCGAUGGCAGAACAGGUUAAUAUUCCUGUACUACCUUAAGGAGUGACGUGGAGACGGAGGAGUGACAACGCCGCGGACUGACGGAAUAGUCCGUUGAAGGGUGUAGAUGUUGAUUAUCCCAGGCAAAUCCGGGAUAAGAGUCGAACCUGAUAGUAUACCAAAUUCUUCGGAAUAAGGUAAUAGUGCGUGUAAGCAUACUCCCAAGAAAAUCCGCUAAACUUAAUCUUUAAGGUACCCGUACCGCAAACGGACACACGUAGUCGGGUUGAAUAUACUAAGGCGCUUGAGUGAUUCACGGUUAAGGAACUAGGCAAAUUGACCCUGUAACUUCGGGAUAAAGGGUCCCAACGAGAGUUGGGCGCAGAGAAUAGGUCCAGGCAACUGUUUAACAAAAACACAGGGCUGUGCUAAAUUGAAAGAUUACGUAUACAGCCUGACACCUGCCCGGUGCUGGAAGGUUAAGAGGAGAUGUCAUCGCAAGAGAAGCAUUGAAUUGAAGCCCCAGUAAACGGCGGCCGUAACUAUAACGGUCCUAAGGUAGCGAAAUUCCUUGUCGGGUAAGUUCCGACCUGCACGAAUGGUGUAAUGAUCUGGACACUGUCUCAACCGUGAGCUCAGUGAAAUUGUAGUAUCGGUGAAGAUGCCGAUUACCCGCGAUGGGACGAAAAGACCCCGUGAACCUUUACUAUAGCUUAACAUUGAAUUUGGGUAAUUGAUGUGUAGGAUAGGCCGGAGACUUUGAAGCAGGUACGCCAGUAUUUGUGGAGUCGCUGUUGAAAUACGGCCCUUUGAUUAUUUGAGUUCUAACUCGUAGAUACGAGGACACUGUUUGGUGGGUAGUUUGACUGGGGUGGUCGCCUCCAAAAGUGUAACGGAGGCUUCUAAAGGUGCCCUCAGGACGAUUGGUAACCGUCCGUAGAGUGUAAUGGCAUAAGGGCGCUUGACUGGGAGACAGACAAGUCGAUCAGGUAGGAAACUAGAGCAUAGUGAUCCGGUGUUUCCGUAUGGAAGGGACAUCGCUCAAAGGAUAAAAGGUACUCCGGGGAUAACAGGCUGAUCCCUCCCAAGAGCUCAUAUCGACGGAGGGGUUUGGCACCUCGAUGUCGGCUCGUCACAUCCUGGGGCUGGAGAAGGUCCCAAGGGUUGGGCUGUUCGCCCAUUAAAGUGGCACGCGAGCUGGGUUCAGAACGUCGUGAGACAGUUCGGUCUCUAUCUAUCGUGGGCGUAUGAAAUUUGCGUGGCUCUGACACUAGUACGAGAGGACCGUGUUGGACUGACCGCUGGUUUACCAGUUGUGCCGCCAGGUGCAUUGCUGGGUAUCUAAGUCGGGAUUGGAUAAGUGCUGAAAGCAUCUAAGUACGAAGCCAGCCACAAGAUUAGAUUUCUUAGGGUCGUCAAAGACGAUGACGUUGAUAGGAUGCAGGUGUAAAGGUGGUAACAUCAAAGCCGAGCAUUACUAAUUGCCCGUUCACUUUCUUU